CAAAAAAAGUAGGUGUGGUGGCACGUGCCUGUGGUCCCAGCUACCCAGGAGGCUGAGGCAGGAGGACUGCUUGAAUCUAGGAGGCAGGUGUUGCAAAGAGCUGGGGUUACGCACUGUACUCCAGCCUGGGUGACAGAGUGAAACUUCUGUCUCAAAAAAAAAAAAAAAAGAUAGCAAUUUAUAUUUCCAUUAUAUUUUCAGCCCUGGUAUAUAGGAGUAUGUGUUUUGCCAAACACUGGCCAGCUCUGUAGAGACAUGUUACAAAAUCUAUGUCACAUCGAUUGUUUAAAACUAAUAUUGUACUGUUAUUUCAAUUUACUUUAAAAACUUUACAGUUGAACAUUUUUCUUAAUAUGUUUAUUGGCAGAGUCUUUUCAUAAUUGUCUAUUUAAUCUCUUAGAUCUUUUUAAUUUUCAGGCUUGCUGAGAACUUAUGCAUCAUUCUGUAAAGUGCUUUACAUAUAUUAUCUCCUUUCAUUUGGAUGACUGCUGUAAUUGGGAGGUGUUGAAAGUUCCCAUUUAUAAAUUGGAAAUAAAAGUUUACCAUGUAACUGACCCCAAAUUAUAGAGCAAGCAGCAAGAAUCUAGAACCAUUAUGUCUCUAUCAAAGAGAAAAAUCACACUGGACAAGAUGGACAGACAGAAGUUGAUGUUAUUGCCAACAAUAGAGGAGAGACCACCAAGUGUAGAUUCCCUGUUUCAGUAAGAAAAAAAGUCUGGAGAAUUUUUAAGAACUAGGGUAGGGGGCUGACAGGUUACCUGUGUUUGCUAAUUCUUUUGCCCAAAGGAAAAGUAAAUGUUCUUAUAUCUUCAUGGCAGGAGGUAGUUUGACAACUUGGAGCAAGGCUCCAGUCAAAGUUGGCUUCUACCCUCUCAUAGAAGCUAAGAGAAAGGGCAGUAUCUUCUGUGAUGAUUACAUUUGGAAGAGUUGGUUCCCAGAUCCUUGAGAAAGACAGACAGCCAUGGGUUGUAAAACUGGCAAGAGGCUUUAAAAAUCUUUACAUCUCAAAAGGGCAGAGAGAGAAUGUACAAUUAAAUUGCUCUUACCGCCCCCAACCAAAAAAAAUUGCUCAAAGGAAAGGAAGGUUAGGAUCUAGAGUCAGGAAGAAACCUGAGUAAAGUUUAGUCAAGCAUUCAUAAUACAUUUUGAUAUUCAAAGAAAUUAAUGCUCAUUCGUCAUAAUUAUUACAAAUAAUUUUUUAAAAAUAUAUUUUACUUUAUAAUUUAGUAAAUUUUAUAGCACUAGCAAUCUAUAGUUGUUAUAGAAAAAUGAUAAAACCUUCAGUGACAAAAACUAUACUAGUUAUGUAUAUGAGAUAUAUAUAAAUGUAUGUGUUAUAUGAAUGAACAAGACUUUUUAAAUAUUAUUCCUUGUAAACAAACACUUCUAUAAUGUCAUCCUAAAUUUCAUCGUGACACUUUAUCAGUGUUUAAUUAUUUUUAAGCAAACUUUACUGGUUCACAUAGAUUGGUGUCGACCUAGUCAUAACUGUGUAGAUGCCACACGCUAUUCCAGAAAAAAAACUUUAAUUUUGCAUAAUAACGUAUUAUUGUUAUUCUUUAUUACAUGCAACACUGUACAAAUAGAUGCUUAUCUCCUUACAAUGGGGUUACUUCCUAAUAAACCUGUUGUAAGUUGAAAAUAUAAUGUCAAGAAUGCAUUUAGUAAACCUAACCUACAAAGCCUCAUAGAUUAGCCUAGCCUACCUUAAACAUACUCAGCACAAUUCCAUCAGCCUACAGUUGGGCAAAAUCAUUUGGCAGCAUAGUACACUGCAGACAUCGACUGUUUACCCUCAUGAUUGCCUGGCUAGCUGGAAGCUUUGACUCGCUGCUAUGGUCUAGCAUCACUAGAGAGGAUUGUAGAGCACAUUGCUAGCCCAGAAAAAGAUCAAAAUAAAAUUCUAAGUAAGGUUUCUACUAAAUGUGUCUCACUUUCACACUAUCAUAAAGUAGAAAAAUCAAACCAUUGUUUAGUUGGGGAUCCUCCGUAUAUCGUGGGUAAUUUGCAUGUAAUCCUCUAAAGAGCCCUAAGGGUAAGGUACUAUUUUCAUCUCUAUCUUUCAUAUAGGAAAAUUUAAUCACAGAGAUAUUAAGUUAUUCCCCUAGAGUCACACAGCUAGUAAAACAAUUCUGCAGAAUAACUUUUAAUUAGUAAGCCUGCCAAACAUAGGUCAUACAUUAAAUGAAAACAGCUGAUUGAAAAGUGAUAAAUAUGAUAAGAUCCUAUUCUUAAAAAACUAAUUUAGAUAGAUCUAUAAAGUAUAAAAGGUUACAAAUCAAGAUCUGAACAGUGCUUCUCUCUGUUGAUAAACAUUUUGUUUUCUCACUUUUGUUAAUUAUUAUUUAAGCAUGGAAUGCACUUAUAUUUAUUUUUGAAAAUGGAUGAUUGAUGAAUCUUCAUUCACUGAAUACUAAAACACAGCAAAUUUAUAUAAAACAAACCAAGAAAGAUGUACCUAGAAUAUGAAGAGUUAUAGAUUUAUGGACACCAUCUGCUGCAACUUUUUCAGUAUUUGAACAUUUAAGAAAAAAAAUUAAGCUCUUAGAAGCUUUGAAUAUGAUGAACAAGCUUGAUCUAAAAUAUGCGUGAGUUAGCUCCCUACAAUGAUCUGAAAUCUAGACAUUCUCUAGAAAUUGCCUCUUUAGCCAAAGAGGAUAUUGUAAGUUGCACUACAAACUACUUGGUGAUAGCAAGGAAUAUUUGGUUCAAAAUUAGGCAUAAUGAUUCCCAUUGCAACGUGUCUUCAUUUUAUCAUAGACUUUUGUAAUAAAAAUAUUUUUAAAAACAGAUUUUUCUUUAAGGAAAAAAUAACAAUGCAUUAAAAUAUUUGAUUUUGAAUAGGGUGUGGUUUCCUAAGGAAUUUGAAUGACACUGGGUAGUCUUUGAAGAAUCAUUGAUGUUUAGGAAUACUUUUGUCUUCUGGGAGAAGAAUGUUGGCAUUUUCAGAGUUAGGCUUCAGGAAGAACACUCUAUCAACUGCAUGUAGGAGGAGAAACUGGGGACCGGAAUACCACACAGAAGAUCAUGAUAACAAUUGAUUAGCAAGAGGGAUAAUACGUGCUAGGACUUCAAAGCAGAUGAAAACAAAUAUAGGGCAGAAGAAAACUAGGAAGGAUGCUUAGGGGUGCCGGGAUGAAGGGAAAGGUAGGGUGGCACAUCACAGCACCAGGUCCCAGGAAAACGUAGGGAGGUACAUCACAGCAACAGGAUUUCAGGAAAACGUAGGGAGGUACAUCACAGCAGCAGGUCUCAGUAAAAGGUAGGGAGGCACAUCCCAGCCCCAUGUCCCAGGGAAAGGUAGGGAGGCACAUCCCAGCACCAGGUCCCAGGAAAAGGUAGGGAGACACAUAACAGUAACAGGUCCUAGGAAAAGGUAGGGGGGCACAUCCCAGAAUCAAG
Chlorocebus sabaeus (green monkey) is the source of this 3402-nucleotide non-coding RNA. NCBI's taxonomy places the organism in Eukaryota, Metazoa, Chordata, Mammalia, Primates, Cercopithecidae. The record is from RefSeq and is a predicted model, not a curated record.